RNAcentral lists this ribosomal RNA (427 nucleotides) under uncultured bacterium. Its description in RNAcentral is "partial 16S ribosomal RNA". It matches the Rfam family "Bacterial small subunit ribosomal RNA", at positions 355 to 774 of the family's 1533-position model. The record is from RNAcentral.
UGGGGAAUAUUGGACAAUGGGCGAAAGCCUGAUCCAGCCAUGCCGCGUGUGUGAAGAAGGUCUUCGGAUUGUAAAGCACUUUAAGUUGGGAGGAAGGGCAUUAACCUAAUACGUUAGUGUUUUGACGUUACCGACAGAAUAAGCACCGGCUAACUCUGUGCCAGCAGCCGCGGUAAUACAGAGGGGGCAAGCGUUAAUCGGAAUUACUGGGCGUAAAGCGCGCGUAGGUGGUUUGUUAAGUUGGAUGUGAAAGCCCCGGGCUCAACCUGGGAACUGCAUCCAAAACUGGCAAGCUAGAGUACGGUAGAGGGUGGUGGAAUUUCCUGUGUAGCGGUGAAAUGCGUAGAUAUAGGAAGGAACACCAGUGGCGAAGGCGACCACCUGGACUGAUACUGACACUGAGGUGCGAAAGCGUGGGGAGCAAACA